CAUAGGAGAUUUCAAGCCAUCCGUUUGAGCGAGUUCCACGCAUUGCACGCACGAACAAACACGUAGAGAAAUUAAUUGAUUCUGCUGGGAUCAUAGACGCACGCACUGAAAAGAGAUAGAUAAUUUUUUCCUUUCGUUUGGAGGACGCUGCGACUGAGAAGCUGCGACUGCGAGGAGCAUUUUUCAGUGUUCAUUUUCUUUCCAUUAUUCUUAGAAACAUUAUGGUGUGUUUUUGACUUUGGAUGCGCUGUGCUAGAUCUCAUGACAUUACUCCUUUUGAUCCGGAGAUUGAAAGAACUCUUAGAUCACGAAGAAAAAAUAAAAUACUAGCCAUGGCUGACGGACAGCAUGAUGCACUGCCACGCACCUUGAAGGAUUAUGUACAUCCAAUUAUGAAUGAAACUACUCAGAUAUAAGAUGCCAAGUCAUUAAUGCCAACAACUUUGACCUCAAA
This is a long non-coding RNA of Carya illinoinensis, 454 nucleotides long. RefSeq lists it as uncharacterized. Lineage: Eukaryota; Viridiplantae; Streptophyta; Magnoliopsida; Fagales; Juglandaceae. The record is from RefSeq and is a predicted model, not a curated record. The transcript is spliced from 2 exons.